UAAGUGGAUUAGUGGCGGACGGGUGAGUAACGCGUGAGUAACCUGCCUUGCACAAGGGGAUAGCCGUUGGAAACGACCGAAUAAUACCCUAUGAUAUGAUACGUCUCGCAUGAGAUUAUCAUCAAAGAUUUAUCGGUGUAAGAUGGACUCGCGUCUGAUUAGCUAGUUGGUGGGGUAACUGCUCACCAAGGCAACGAUCAGUAGCCGGCUUGAGAGAGUGUACGGCCACAUUGGGACUGAGACACGGCCCAGACUCCUACGGGAGGCAGCAGUGGGGAAUUUUGCACAAUGGGGGAAACCCUGAUGCAGCGACGCCGCGUGAUUUAGAAGGCCUUCGGGUUGUAAAAAUCUUUGUAUGGGAAGAAAAUGACAGUACCAUACGAUAUAAGGACCGGCUAAUUACGUGCCAGCAGCCGCGGUAAUACGUAAGGUCCGAGCGUUGUCCGGAAUCAUUGGGCGUAAAGGGUACGUAGGCGGAUAAGCAAGUUAGAAGUGAAAUCCUAUAGCUCAACUAUAGUAAGCUUUUAAAACUGCUCAUCUUGAGGUAUGGAAGGGAAAGUGGAAUUCCUAGUGUAGCGGUGAAAUGCGCAGAUAUUAGGAGGAAUACCGGUGGCGAAGGCGACUUUCUGGCCAUAAACUGACGCUGUAGGUACGAAAGCGUGGGUAGCAACAGGAUUAGAUACCCUGGUAGUCCACUCCGUAUACGAUGAGUGUUAGGUGUCUGGAAU
This 728-nucleotide ribosomal RNA is filed under the name uncultured Clostridia bacterium. RNAcentral's name for it is "bacterial SSU rRNA". It matches the Rfam family "Bacterial small subunit ribosomal RNA", at positions 84 to 830 of the family's 1533-position model. The record is from RNAcentral. Lineage: Bacteria; Bacillati; Bacillota; Clostridia.